This 1460-nucleotide long non-coding RNA is filed under the name Bos indicus x Bos taurus (hybrid cattle). RNAcentral describes it as "lncRNA (ENSBIXG00000000188.1)". Lineage: Eukaryota; Metazoa; Chordata; Mammalia; Artiodactyla; Bovidae. The record is from RNAcentral.
AAGGCCCCAUGUGAUCUUGUCCCUGACGAGUUAGGGACAUUUUAAAUGUUUGGUUGAAUCAUAUGACGGUGCAGUUUUUCUUAGUUGAAGAUGGUCCGUUAUGGGCAACUUUAUGUGCUUGAGUUCACCCAGGACCCUCAUCCUCAACCAGAUGCUGCCCCCUUGGCCUGCAAAACCCAUCCGCUGUCUACUCCCAUCUUUCCCUGCCUCGACUCACCCCUUCUGCCUUACUAAAUAACUGCCCUUUCUUCAAGUCUUCCAGUCUGUCGUUUCUUCCAAGAAGCUUUGGAUUCUGAAUUAAGCACCCCUCCUCUGAGCUUCCCAAGCAUCUAUCCUCAUUCACUCAUUCAGUCGCUCAACAAAUCAUUAUUAAGCACCAAUUACAUGCCCACCGAAUGCCAGGCAGUAGGGACACGGUAAUGACAAAGUCAGUGACCCUUAGUCAUAGUACAGUCCUGUCGGUUUCUUCUUGCUCAUCUCCUCUACCAGAGCCCGAAUGCUUCCAUGUCUUGUACACCGUGAAACAGCCACGGCUCCACGUACCUGACACAUAAUAAUCACAUCCUCAUUGAAUGAAAAAUAAAUGGAUUGCUCAAAUUUGUCAAAGUAGCGUAUAACCGAUUUUAUUUCUCUUCUGUUCUAGUUUUUUUUUUUUUUAAAGGUAAUUACUCUCACAAUUUAUCAUCUGACAAAAGGAAGCAGCUGAUAAAAGAAGCCCUCCUUUGUUCUGGACUUCCUGGCCGGGUCUCACAAGUCCUGUUUGCUUUGACCGCCUCUGGAGUGUUUGCCCAGUGAGGUCAGGGAAGGGAAGGAGAACACCGCCCGCCUGUUGUCGGAGCCGCAGGAAGCCAGCUGCGAGCUCCGCUUGCCAGGGCUUCACAGGGCUUGGCAGCUCAAUUUCCUCUCAGCCUACCAGAUGAGACAGAAGAGUCCACCGGUCACUUAUCUAAGCAAAGCACAUUGGGAGCCAUUAGAACUUGCGCCACCCGGCAGACUGUCCUGAACCAGAGAGGAGAAAUCAAGGCCGCCUCACCAUAUGAGACUCAGGUGGAUUCUUUACCGCCUGAGCCACCAGCACUUCCUAUGUGCACAGCCAGCAGCAGAAUUCCAGUGUAUGUAAGUAGUGGGUGGUGGAUACACCUGGAUGCCUCCUAACAUCUUUAAAUUCCCUUCCUGUGUUUGGGGAAAUCCCCUGGCUCAUGAUUGCACAAUCCCAUCCCUCCCCUCCCGCCCCCACCAAGGCCUCCUUAAGAGAGAAGCUAUUUAGAAUGCCUCUUGCUUCUCAGGUGCAGGUAAGAGACAGCCUUCACCAAUGUGACACCCACUGGAGACUUUGAUUGGGAAGCUAAUGUCAUAAAGACAUGGAACCCAUUCUGCUGAGCAUAGCAGCCAAGUAGCCAGCUAGCUCCCAGUGACCAAGGUUCCAAGGCGCCUCCGAGCCCCGCACUCAGGUACGUGAA